GAUGAACGCUGGCGGCGUGCCUAAUACAUGCAAGUCGAACGAACGGACGAGAAUCUUGCUUCUCUGGUGUUAGCGGCGGACGGGUGAGUAACACGUAAAUAGCCUACGUAUAAGACUUGGGUAACUGCGGGAAACCGUAACUAAGACCAGAUACUCUUUUGAACCGCAUGGGUCAAAAGUGAAAGAGGGUCUGGGUAUCGCUUAGAGACGUAUCCGCGCUUCAGUAGCUAGUUGGUAAGGUAACGGCUUACCAAGGCGACGAUGCAUAGCCGACGUGAGAGCGUGAACGCGCACACUGGGACUGAGACGCGGUACAGAGACCGACGGGAGGCAGAAGUAGGGAAUGGUGGGAACUGGGCGGAAGAUUGACGGAUCAGUGGAGGGUGAGUGCAGAAGGGCUGCGGAUCGUAAAACUCUGUUAUUAGGGAAGAACAUAUGUGUAAGUAACGGUGCACAGCUUGACGGUAGCUAAUAAGAAAGCACCGGCUAACUACGUG
This 497-nucleotide ribosomal RNA is filed under the name uncultured bacterium. RNAcentral's name for it is "partial 16S ribosomal RNA". It matches the Rfam family "Bacterial small subunit ribosomal RNA", at positions 28 to 507 of the family's 1533-position model. The record is from RNAcentral.